AAAACAGGUUUCAAAACCCUUUUCUCUCAAAAAUUUUCAACCUCUUUUCCCCUUCAGUCGACUGAACCAAAAGGUUCUUCACUCUUUGCCUCCACGUUAUCAAAUCGGACCCUCCUAAAUCCCCAUCAAGCUUCGAUUUCAACGAAUUCAACAAGGAUUCGAAGGCUCCUCAUGAAGAUAAGUAUUUUUGCUUCUGCUUAUUUUAUUUUUUACACACACAAAUAACAAAAAGCAAAGAACUCAAAGCAAAAUCUACAGAAAAAUGAGAUUUUAAAAUCACCUCUUGAACUGUUCCCGUUUUUCUAUUCAAACUUCUCUGUACAGAUUUGUAUCCCCCCCUUUACAUUGUUUACAAAUGGUCUUUUAUAGCCGAAAACCCCCAAAAAAUGAAAAGAAAUUGAGACUCUCAUCAUCCCUCUUUUCUGUUAUCUCUUUGUUGUUAAUUAUCCUUGCUGUUAUUUGCUGUAGUUAUUAGUUCGUUUUGCAGGUGUGUAUGGCGUGGAGUGAAGCUGUUUGUGGGCGUGCUGGCGUGGAGGAGGCAGUUGGAGGCUACAGCAACUGAAGCUUUUAGGGUGUGUAUGGCGUGGAGUGAAGCUGUUUGUGGGCGUGCUGGCGUGGAGGAGGCAGUUGGAGGCUACAGCAACUGAAGCUUUUAGGGUCUUCUACAUAUACUUUAAACCCUUUUUUCAUUAUUAUUCACCUGGUGGAUGGGUCAAUCUGUAGCUAGAAAGAAAUUUAUAGUAGUUAUAUUGUCAAAAUGGUUUUACAAGUAAAUGCUUGAAUUAGAACUCAACAUUUUAGAAGUUGCUCAUAUAA
This is a long non-coding RNA of Gossypium arboreum, 816 nucleotides long. RefSeq lists it as uncharacterized. The record is from RefSeq and is a predicted model, not a curated record. The transcript has 2 exons. NCBI's taxonomy places the organism in Eukaryota, Viridiplantae, Streptophyta, Magnoliopsida, Malvales, Malvaceae.